Molecule: ribosomal RNA, 448 nt
Filed under: uncultured bacterium
Lineage: Bacteria
Description: bacterial SSU rRNA
Rfam family: Bacterial small subunit ribosomal RNA
Source: RNAcentral
UUCCAGACUCCUACGGGAGGCAGCAGUGGGGAAUAUUGCACAAUGGGGGAAACCCUGAUGCAGCAACGCCGCGUGAGUGAAGAAGUAUUUCGGUAUGUAAAGCUCUAUCAGCAGGGAAGAAAAUGACGGUACCUGACUAAGAAGCCCCGGCUAACUACGUGCCAGCAGCCGCGGUAAUACGUAGGGGGCAAGCGUUAUCCGGAUUUACUGGGUGUAAAGGGAGCGUAGACGGCAUGGCAAGUCAGAUGUGAAAGCCCGGGGCGCAACCCCGGGACUGCAUUUGAAACUGUCAGGCUGGAGUGCAGGAGAGGGAAGUGGAAUUCCUAGUGUAGCGGUGAAAUGCGUAGAUAUUAGGAGGAACACCAGUGGCGAAGGGGGCUUACUGGACUGUAACUGACGUUGAGGCUCGAAAGCGUGGGGAGCAAACAGGAUUAGAGACCCCAGUAAU